AAUGGAGGCAACUCUGACCCAGCCAUGCCGCGUGCAGGAAGACGGUCUAUGGAUUGUAAACUGCUUUUAUUUGUGAAUAACUCCGGUACGUGUACCGGCCUGAAUGUAGCAAAUGAAUAAGCACCGGCUAACUCCGUGCCAGCAGCCGCGGUAAUACGGAGGGUGCAAGCGUUAUCCGGAAUCAUUGGGUUUAAAGGGUCCGCAGGCGGAUGUAUAAGUCAGUGGUGAAAUCCUACAGCUUAACUGUAGAACUGCCAUUGAUACUGUACAUCUUGAAUUCGGUCGAAGUGGGCGGAAUAUGUCAUGUAGCGGUGAAAUGCUUAGAUAUGACAUAGAACACCGAUAGCGAAGGCAGCUCACUAGGCCUGGAUUGACGCUCAGGGACGAAAGCGUGGGUAGCGAACAGGAUU
RNAcentral lists this ribosomal RNA (410 nucleotides) under uncultured Flavobacteriia bacterium. Its description in RNAcentral is "bacterial SSU rRNA". It matches the Rfam family "Bacterial small subunit ribosomal RNA", at positions 370 to 779 of the family's 1533-position model. The record is from RNAcentral. Lineage: Bacteria; Pseudomonadati; Bacteroidota; Flavobacteriia.